Molecule: ribosomal RNA, 280 nt
Filed under: uncultured bacterium
Lineage: Bacteria
Description: partial 16S ribosomal RNA
Rfam family: Bacterial small subunit ribosomal RNA
Source: RNAcentral
GUGGAUUAGAUACCCUGGUAGUCCACGCCGUAAACGAUGGAUACUAGCUGUUGGAAGCAAUUUCAGUGGCUAAGCGAAAGUGAUAAGUAUCCCACCUGGGGAGUACGUUCGCAAGAAUGAAACUCAAAGGAAUUGACGGGGGCCCGCACAAGCGGUGGAGCAUGUGGUUUAAUUCGAUGAUACGCGAGGAACCUUACCAAGGCUUAAAUGUAGAUUGACCGGUUUGGAAACAGACUUUUCGCAAGACAAUUUACAAGGUGCUGCACGGCCGUCGCCAACU